RNAcentral lists this ribosomal RNA (402 nucleotides) under uncultured Candidatus Solibacter sp. Its description in RNAcentral is "bacterial SSU rRNA". It matches the Rfam family "Bacterial small subunit ribosomal RNA", at positions 355 to 774 of the family's 1533-position model. Lineage: Bacteria; Pseudomonadati; Acidobacteriota; Terriglobia; Bryobacterales; Solibacteraceae. The record is from RNAcentral.
UGGGGAAUCUUGCACAAUGGGGGCAACCCUGAUGCAGCGACGCCGCGUGAGUGAUGACGCCCUUCGGGGUGUAAAGCUCUUUCGGCAGGGACGAUUAUGACGGUACCUGCAAAAGCAGCUGCGGCUAACUACGUGCCAGCAGCCGCGGUAAUACGUAGGCAGCAAGCGUUGUUCGGAGUUACUGGGCGUAAAGGGUGCGUAGGCGGCUUUUUAAGUUUGGUGUGAAAUCUCCCGGCUCAACUGGGAGGGUGCGCCGAAUACUGAGAGGCUAGAGUGCGGGAGAGGAAAGUGGAAUUCCUGGUGUAGCGGUGAAAUGCGUAGAUAUCAGGAGGAACACCGGUGGUGUAAACGGCUUUCUGGACCGUAACUGACGCUGAGGCACGAAAGCGUGGGUAGCAAACA